RNAcentral lists this ribosomal RNA (2700 nucleotides) under Triticum aestivum (bread wheat). Its description in RNAcentral is "partial small subunit ribosomal RNA". Lineage: Eukaryota; Viridiplantae; Streptophyta; Magnoliopsida; Poales; Poaceae. The record is from RNAcentral.
AUGGGGCCGGAAGUGGCUGUUGCACUUGCGGUGGUGGGAUGGUUCGUCUCGCCGCACAUAACCAAGCUCAUGGAGGUCGCACGAUCCUGCGCUUCCAGCAAGUACAAGCUGCCAAGGGGCAUGAGGAAGAAGCUGCUGAAACUGGCGCAAGAUCUGGGGGACAUCAAGGACUUCCUGGAUCCAGCUACUAUGGGGGGCUCCGUCAGCGACAGGACCUGGGUCAACCGUCUGUGGAGUCUCAAGGAUGCCAUCCAUGACGCGGAGGAGAUCCUGGACUUGUUCGAGUGGCAUAUCCUUGAGGCCGAGGCAGCUAAAAACCUUAAGAAGCGCUCCGGCGGUGGUGGUGGCAGUGCUAGCAGCAGUGGCAGGAAAUCCGCAUAUUCUUGGUGGAUUUUCACCACCAACACCAGUGGUCCGUCACUGAAUCAGCUCAAGGAAGUGCUCAAGAACCUAGGGGAGCUUCGUGAGAGGAUGCGAGAGCUCUGCGAGAAUCCUGCCACUCGGCGUGCUGUACUUUCUCCACUCUGCAGAGCACCCUUGGGCCCGGAGCCAGUAAGGGAGAAGAAGCUCUUCUUCGGGUACGGCGUGGAGUAUGAGCAGCUAGUCUCCAUGCUCGGGGACGGCAACUGCAAGGACAAGAAAGUUAUCUCCCUCAUAGGCCAUGGCGGGAUGGGGAAGACCGAGCUUGCUCGCCAGGCGUACCGCCAUGUCCGAGGCAAGUUUGAUCGGCCCAUAUGGGUGCCUGCCUACGGCAAGAAUGCUCAGUUUGACCUUCUGGCAGAGAUUUGGAAGUCGGCCGUCGGCGAAAAAUCAGUCCAGGAGAUGAACAUUUCUAGCCUUCAGGACAAGCUCAAGGCACAACUGGCAUCCCAGAGGUGCCUGCUUGUGCUGGAUGAUGUAUGGAGCGACGAAAAGGACAUGAACGAGAGCGAGAGAAGGACUGCGCUGCGCUGCUUCACUGAUUUCGUGGGCGUCGGGAGUCGCAUCGUAAUGACGACGCGAUCCAGGAUUUGUUCGACGAAACUGGGCGCAGAAGAAACCAUCUUCCUGAAUGGGAUCAAACCUGAAGAGAUGAUGCUUCUGCUCAACGACACCGCAAAUCCCAGCGCCGAUGGUACCAGCGGCAUCCAGGGGAUGCUCAAAAGCGACGUGCUCAAGCUCAAGGGGUCCCCUUCGGCGGCCAUAGAGAUCGGCGAGAAGUUGAAGGCACGAAACGCAAGCUGCGGGCGCGAGCGACGCGGCGGCAUCCUGGCAAACAUGGAAUGCCACAUCGCCGGCGUGUUAGUAAGCCAUCUCGCCAGCUAUGACCAUCUGCCACCGCACCUCCAGCGUUGCUUCGCGUUCUGCAGCAUAUUCCCAAACGGUUGGAGGUUUGAGCCUGAGAAGCUGACCAAGAUGUGGAUGGCUCUUGGUUUCGUCGAGGAGAAGGCCCAUCAUCCUCAGGUUGGAAAUGGGAUGAGCAGCAUGGAAGACGUUGCCAGAGGCUAUUUCCAAGAGCUGGUGGACCGCUCCUUGUUUGAGUUAGAACAGAGCAAGGGUGGAGGAGACAAACAUAAUCGGGUUCGCCACUUGUCAGUUACCAGCGGCUGCCUUGAUCAGCUGAAUGAGUACUCCAUAGGACUCGGCAAUCUGCGGACCUUGAUAGUCCUAAAGGAUGAUGGUGUCGUUGCCAUUGACAAAGAUAUACUCCAACAAUUCAAGGGUGUGAGAGUACUGGAUCUGACAGAGACAGGCAUAACUCAACUUCCAGCGAGUAUUGGCAAGCUGAAACAUGUGAGGUACCUAGGCCUUCCUAGCACCGUCAGCAGUGAUCUCGGUGAUCAAGUCACCAAGCUAUUGUUUCUUCAGACACUGAGUGUGGGCCAGGAGGAGGACAAAGGGGAAAAGAGAGAGUGCAUCACCAACAUAAGUGGCAUAGGAAGGCUGGUUAAACUUCGAGAGUCGAUCGAGUUCCAGGUGAUGAGGGCAUCGGAGAAGGAAGGGCACAGCCUGUGGGAGCUGGCCGGGAUGAAGUCUCUUGGGAAGACGCUGAGCAUAAAGGGCCUGGACGCCGUCGCGAGCAAAGAGGAAGCCAAGCAGGCUCGGCUUGACAACAAGUGUUCCGUCAAGGUCCUGAAGCUUCAAUGGGGAGCCCCGGAUGCGCGCCACGGAGAACCUGUCGCCCGAAGCUCUGCUGCUGCUGACCCCGCGCCCGCGGUGGCCGUCCUCCAAGGUCUCCAGCCCCACCACUACCUCCAUGAACUUCGUAUCGAGAGGUAUUCCGGGGAGACGUCGCCUACCUGGCUCAGCGGACUGGAGAAGCUGACGCGCCUGUACCUCAAGAACUGCAGGAAGCUCAAGGCCCUUCCGGCCCUGGGCCAGCUCCCGUGCCUUGAGCUUCUCGAAAUCAAGGAGCUUUGUGUUGUUGCGAGGAUCGACGGCGGCUUCUGCGGUGGCGGCGCGUUCCCCAAGCUUAAGAAGAUCGUGCUGGACGACAUGAAGGAACUGGUGGCGUGGAAUGACAAUGACAUGCCGAAAGUUGCGUUCCCUCUGCUCAGGGACGUGAGCAUCGCCGACUGCCCGCUGCUGUCGUCCUUGUCGGCCCUCGGGCGCUGCACAGGUCCCAUUGAUCUGCGCGUCAAGGGUGAGUGCCCUCACAUUACACCAGACACCCUGCCCGCAGCUUUCAGGAACGGUGUCUCAACCUGCAAAUUCCACUAG